GAUCCUGGCUCAGAUUGAACGCUGGCGGCAGGCUUAACACAUGCAAGUCGAACGGUAACAGGAGAGAGCUUGCUUUCUUGCUGACGAGUGGCGGACGGGUGAGUAAUGCUUGGGAAUCUGGCUUAUGGAGGGGGAUAACGACGGGAAACUGUCGCUAAUACCGCGUAGAGUCGAGAGACGAAAGUGCGGGACCGCAAGGCCGUAUGCCAUAGGAUGAGCCCAAGUGGGAUUAGGUAGUUCGG
This 242-nucleotide ribosomal RNA is filed under the name uncultured bacterium. RNAcentral's name for it is "partial 16S ribosomal RNA". It matches the Rfam family "Bacterial small subunit ribosomal RNA", at positions 15 to 253 of the family's 1533-position model. The record is from RNAcentral.